AAAAAAUCAAAAGCUAUAUGCUUUCAGAUCUAAAUACUUACAUUUUUCUAAUUAUUCUCAUGAAAUGUAAUCUAAUUUACUUUAAUUGCAGAUUUCGGGAAGUAGAAGAUAAAGACUGUCAGGAAAUAACAUUAGAAGUGAUAACAGCAGGAGCAAUAGGACCUAGGAGUUCCCAAAAGGAACAUGAAGGAUGUCAUGCCAAAAGGGGCAAAGAGCACAGUCCUCAACUAUGGAAAUAAUUGUGGGCCAAACUGUUAAUGGAAUUUGGGGUGCUGGAGUCUCCUAGAGUACCUGGGAUCGAACUCAGGACCUUGCACUUGGGAGGCAGGCAUGGUGCCACUGAGCUACAUCCCCAGCCCAGGUUUCUGCCCUUUACGUUAUCAACCAAGCUCAACUUUAAAUAUCUCUAAGAGAUUUUUGAUGUGAUGAGUCUGGAAGAAAAAACAAACCAGCCUAAGAAGCUUAAAGAAUCCUAUGAAGGGCAGAUAUGGAUAACAUUGGGUAUAGAGGAUAUUGCCCCUGCACAGGAAAAGCUGACUAAUACAAAGUAACACUGAGUUCCAUCCAAAAAAAGGGCAGCCAAGCAUGGGAACUAUGACUACAGGUUACCUACCCUUCUCACACUUUAUUUUGACAGGGUCUCACCGUAUAUUUGAGGCUGGCUUUGAACUCAUGAUGUAGCUCAGGCUGGACUCGAACUCGAAAUGAUCCUCCUGCCUCAGUUUCCCGUGUGCUCGGAUUACAGGACUUUGCAGCUCUUUGGCCCUAGUACAGAAGAUCAUCAGAGGCACACACGUUUGUUAGAACACAAGAGGUGGG
This 819-nucleotide long non-coding RNA is filed under the name Heterocephalus glaber (naked mole-rat). RNAcentral's name for it is "lncRNA (ENSHGLG00000032777.1)". The record is from RNAcentral. Lineage: Eukaryota; Metazoa; Chordata; Mammalia; Rodentia; Bathyergidae.